RNAcentral lists this ribosomal RNA (253 nucleotides) under uncultured bacterium. RNAcentral describes it as "partial 16S ribosomal RNA". It matches the Rfam family "Bacterial small subunit ribosomal RNA", at positions 524 to 776 of the family's 1533-position model. The record is from RNAcentral.
UACGGAGGGUGCAAGCGUUACUCGGAAUCACUGGGCGUAAAGAGCGUGUAGGCGGAUUAAUAAGUCAGAUGUGAAAGCCAAUGGCUCAACCAUUGAACUGCAUUUGAAACUGUUAAUCUAGAAUAUGGGAGAGGUAGAUGGAAUUUCUGGUGUAGGGGUAAAAUCCGUAGAGAUCAGAAGGAAUACCGAUUGCGAAGGCGAUCUACUGGAACAUUAUUGACGCUGAGACGCGAAAGCGUGGGGAGCAAACAGG